Molecule: ribosomal RNA, 474 nt
Filed under: uncultured bacterium
Lineage: Bacteria
Description: SSU rRNA
Rfam family: Bacterial small subunit ribosomal RNA
Source: RNAcentral
AGGAUAAACGCUGGCGGCGUGCCUAACACAUGCAAGUCGAACGUCUCUUCUUUCGGGAAGAGGAGUGGCGGACGGGUGAGGAACACGUGGGAACCUGCCCUUUAGUGAGGAAUACCGGCGAGAAAUCGCCGACAAGACCGCAUAGCCCUCUUUGAUGAGAGUCAAAGAAGGAAAGCUUCGCAAGAGGCGCUAGAGGAGGGGCCUGCGUCCGAUUAGCUAGUUGGUGGGGUAAGAGCCUACCAAGGCGUCGAUCGGUAGCUGGUCUGAGAGGACGAUCAGCCACACUGGGAUUGAGACACGGCCCAGACUUCUACGGAAGGCAGCAGUGGGGAAUUUUCCGCAAUGGGCGAAAGCCUGACGGAGCGACGCCGCGUGGAGGAUGAAGUAUUUAGGUAUGUAAACUCCUUUCAGCAGGGACGAAAAAAUGACGGUACCUGCAGAAGAAGCAUCGGCUAACUACGUGCCAGCAGCCGC